RNAcentral lists this ribosomal RNA (636 nucleotides) under Lyctodon sp. NLG-2014. Its description in RNAcentral is "eukaryotic LSU rRNA". It matches the Rfam family "Eukaryotic large subunit ribosomal RNA", at positions 671 to 1265 of the family's 3401-position model. Lineage: Eukaryota; Metazoa; Arthropoda; Insecta; Coleoptera; Bostrichidae. The record is from RNAcentral.
GAGUCUAGCAUGUGCGCGAGUCAUUGGGAUUCGCUAAACCUAAAGGCGCAAUGAAAGUGAAGGUCGGCCUCGCGCCGACCGAGGGAGGAUGGGCUGUCCGUCUCCGGACGGCGCCCCGCACUCCCGGGGCGUCUCGUACUCAUCGCGAGUUGAGGCGCACCCAGAGCGUACACGCUGGGACCCGAAAGAUGGUGAACUAUGCCUGGUCAGGACGAAGUCAGGGGAAACCCUGAUGGAGGUCCGUAGCGAUUCUGACGUGCAAAUCGAUCGUCGGAACUGGGUAUAGGGGCGAAAGACUAAUCGAACCAUCUAGUAGCUGGUUCCCUCCGAAGUUUCCCUCAGGAUAGCUGGCGCUCGUAUUUUACGAGUCUCAUCCGGUAAAGCGAAUGAUUAGAGGCAUUGGGGUCGAAACGGCCUCAACCUAUUCUCAAACUUUAAAUGGGUGAGAUCUCCGGCUUGCUCGAUUGAAGCCGCGAGAUUUCGGAUCAGAGUGCCAAGUGGGCCAUUUUUGGUAAGCAGAACUGGCGCUGUGGGAUGAACCAAACGUGGAGUUAAAGCGCCUAAAUCGACGCUUAUGGGAUACCAUGAAAGGCGUUGGUAACUUAAGACAGCAGGACGGUGGCCAUGGAAGUCGGA